GUGAGGAAUAUUGGUCAAUGGGCGAGAGCCUGAACCAGCCAAGUCGCGUGAAGGAUGACUGUCUUAUGGAUUGUAAACUUCUUUUAUACGGGAAUAACAAGAGUCACGUGUGGCUCCCUGCAUGUACCGUAUGAAUAAGCAUCGGCUAACUCCGUGCCAGCAGCCGCGGUAAUACGGAGGAUGCGAGCGUUAUCCGGAUUUAUUGGGUUUAAAGGGUGCGUAGGCGGCCUGUUAAGUCAGCGGUGAAAUCUAGGAGCUUAACUCCUAAAUUGCCAUUGAUACUGGCGGGCUUGAGUGUAGAUGAGGUAGGCGGAAUGCGUGGUGUAGCGGUGGAAUGCAUAGAUAUCACGCAGAACUCCGAUUGCGAAGGCAGCUUACUAAGGUACAACUGACGCUGAAGCACGAAAGCGUGGGUAUCAAACAGGAUUAGAUACCCUGGUAGUCCACGCAGUAAACGAUGAUAACUGGGCGUAUGCGAUAUACAGUAUGCUCCUAAGCGAAAGCGUUAAGUUAUCCACCUGGGGAGUACGCCGGCAACGGU
Molecule: ribosomal RNA, 541 nt
Filed under: uncultured bacterium
Lineage: Bacteria
Description: bacterial SSU rRNA
Rfam family: Bacterial small subunit ribosomal RNA
Source: RNAcentral